This 253-nucleotide ribosomal RNA is filed under the name uncultured bacterium. RNAcentral describes it as "partial 16S ribosomal RNA". It matches the Rfam family "Bacterial small subunit ribosomal RNA", at positions 524 to 776 of the family's 1533-position model. The record is from RNAcentral.
UACGUAGGUGGCAAGCGUUGUCCGGAAUUACUGGGCGUAAAGCGUGCGCAGGCGGCUAUGCAAGACAGAUGUGAAAUCCCCGGGCUCAACCUGGGAACUGCAUUUGUGACUGCAUGGCUAGAGUACGGUAGAGGGGGAUGGAAUUCCGCGUGUAGCAGUGAAAUGCGUAGAUAUGCGGAGGAACACCGAUGGCGAAGGCAAUCCCCUGGACCUGUACUGACGCUCAUGCACGAAAGCGUGGGGAGCAAACAGG